Molecule: ribosomal RNA, 254 nt
Filed under: uncultured bacterium
Lineage: Bacteria
Description: partial 16S ribosomal RNA
Rfam family: Bacterial small subunit ribosomal RNA
Source: RNAcentral
GACAUAGGUGGCGAACGUUAUCCGGAUUUAUUGGGCGUAAAGGAUGCGUAGAUGGCAGGGUAAGUUAUCGGUCGAAAUCGGGCUCAACUCGAUGGAGGCUAAUAAUACUACUCUGCUGGAGGACAGGAGAGGUUAACGGAACUCUAUGAGUAGGGGUGAAAUCCAUUGAUCUAUAGGGGACCCCCAAAAAAGGCGAAGGCAGUUAACUAUUCUGUUCCUGACAUUGAGGCAUGAAAGCGUGGGGAGCAAAACGG